CCUACGGGAGGCAGCAGUGGGGAAUAUUGCACAAUGGGGGAAACCCUGAUGCAGCAACGCCGCGUGAAGGAAGACGGUUUUCGGAUUGUAAACUUCUGUUCUUAGUGAAGAAUAAUGACGGUAGCGAAGGAGCAAGCAACGGCCAAAUACGUGCCAGCAGCCGCGGUAAUACGGAGGGUGCAAGCGUUAUCCGGAUUUACUGGGUGUAAAGGGAGCGCAGGCGGCACGGCAAGCCUGAUGUGAAAGCCCGCGGCCCAACCGCGGGACUGCAUUGGAAACUACCGGGCUGGAGUGCCGGAGAGGCAGGCGGAAUUCCUGGUGUAGCGGUGAAAUGCGUAGAUAUUAGGAGGAACACCAGUGGCGAAGGCGGCCUACUGGGCGGUGACUGACGCUGAGGCUCGAAAGCGUGGGGAGCGAACAGGAUUAGAUACCCUUGUAGUC
Molecule: ribosomal RNA, 441 nt
Filed under: uncultured bacterium
Lineage: Bacteria
Description: partial 16S ribosomal RNA
Rfam family: Bacterial small subunit ribosomal RNA
Source: RNAcentral